Felis catus (domestic cat) is the source of this 664-nucleotide long non-coding RNA. RefSeq lists it as uncharacterized. The transcript is spliced from 4 exons. The record is from RefSeq and is a predicted model, not a curated record. Lineage: Eukaryota; Metazoa; Chordata; Mammalia; Carnivora; Felidae.
AACAUUGUGAGGCUACUUGUACUCGGGUGGAAAUUGUUGGUAGCAGAACUCUGCAUGUUUUCAUGGGGAUGGAACACGGUGGAGGCAAAAGGUCAAAGAACUUGGAGUUUCAUUGUUCCAAAAUCCAACUCGGCCUGCAUCACAGUUUGGGCCCUACAGUGUCAGCUGUGACUUGCACAGAAAUGUAGAAACAGGGUCAGAUCUAUCAGAAGUCACAUCCGGUUCAGAACACUCAUUGAAAAUAUGGCUAACGAAGGUGUGCCAGCAUAUUCGGGCUGCGAUAUUAAAAUACCACAGACUGGGUGGCUUAAGCAACAGUGAUUGUGCUCUGCUUGGGUAAGCUAUUUCCAGAAGCUGGGUGGACGCAUAGAGGACUUCUUUGCAACUUUUCCGAUAGAAGCUAACUUAAGAGAUUUUACCCCGAGAUCGAAACACUGUGCUCUAGCUGGCCUCAAUGUUUCUCGGAGGGAGCUUCACUGAGCCCACGGUUUCUGCAGGAGUCCAGAGGACGACCGCUCCAGAUGACAAAACUCGCAAAGGACCUGACACGUCUUAGAUUCAGUAAGCGUCUGUGGAAUGGGAUGGAACUAAUUGGAUCAAAGAAGGAUGCAUUGCCUGAUGUUUUUCUUUCUUCAAGCAUUUCAGCCCCUGUGGGGUGAAGCAA